This 699-nucleotide ribosomal RNA is filed under the name Streptomyces sp. ME-829. Its description in RNAcentral is "bacterial SSU rRNA". It matches the Rfam family "Bacterial small subunit ribosomal RNA", at positions 62 to 777 of the family's 1533-position model. The record is from RNAcentral. Lineage: Bacteria; Bacillati; Actinomycetota; Actinomycetes; Kitasatosporales; Streptomycetaceae.
UCGAACGAUGAAGCCCUUCGGGGUGGAUUAGUGGCGAACGGGUGAGUAACACGUGGGCAAUCUGCCCUUCACUCUGGGACAAGCCCUGGAAACGGGGUCUAAUACCGGAUACCACUCUCUUCCGCAUGGGAGAGGGUUGAAAGCUCCGGCGGUGAAGGAUGAGCCCGCGGCCUAUCAGCUUGUUGGUGGGGUGAUGGCCCACCAAGGCGACGACGGGUAGCCGGCCUGAGAGGGCGACCGGCCACACUGGGACUGAGACACGGCCCAGACUCCUACGGGAGGCAGCAGUGGGGAAUAUUGCACAAUGGGCGAAAGCCUGAUGCAGCGACGCCGCGUGAGGGAUGACGGCCUUCGGGUUGUAAACCUCUUUCAGCAGGGAAGAAGCGAAAGUGACGGUACCUGCAGAAGAAGCGCCGGCUAACUACGUGCCAGCAGCCGCGGUAAUACGUAGGGCGCAAGCGUUGUCCGGAAUUAUUGGGCGUAAAGAGCUCGUAGGCGGCUUGUCACGUCGGAUGUGAAAGCCCGGGGCUUAACCCCGGGUCUGCAUUCGAUACGGGCAGGCUAGAGUGUGGUAGGGGAGAUCGGAAUUCCUGGUGUAGCGGUGAAAAUGCGCAGAUAUCAGGAGGAACACCGGUGGCGAAAGCGGAUCUCUGGGCCAUUACUGACGCUGAGGAGCGAAAGCGUGGGGAGCGAACAGAU